GACCUAGUAGCGGAGGGCCCGCGCCUGCUUCGUUCAUCCACACCUUUCUCAAAAGGAGGAGUCCGUGGUUCGAAUCCACGCUAGGUCA
Mycena epipterygia is the source of this 88-nucleotide non-coding RNA. Lineage: Eukaryota; Fungi; Basidiomycota; Agaricomycetes; Agaricales; Mycenaceae. The record is from the annotation of a GenBank genome assembly.